UACGUAGGGUGCGAGCGUUAAUCGGAAUUACUGGGCGUAAAGGGUGCGCAGGCGGUCUUGUAAGUUGGGUGUGAAAGCCCCGGGCUUAACCUGGGAAUGGCAUUCUGGACUGCGAGGCUUUGAGUGUGGCAGAGGGAGGUGGAAUUCCACGUGUAGCAGUGAAAUGCGUAGAUAUGUGGAGGAACACCGAUGGCGAAGGCAGCCUCCUGGGCCAGCACUGACGCUCAUGCACGAAAGCGUGGGGAGCAAACAGG
This 254-nucleotide ribosomal RNA is filed under the name uncultured bacterium. RNAcentral describes it as "partial 16S ribosomal RNA". It matches the Rfam family "Bacterial small subunit ribosomal RNA", at positions 524 to 776 of the family's 1533-position model. The record is from RNAcentral.